ACUACGGGUGGCAGCAGUAGGGAAUAUUGCUCAAUGGGGGAAACCCUGAAGCAGCAACGCCGCGUGGAGGAUGAAGGUCUUCGGAUUGUAAACUCCUUUUGUUAGAGAAGAUAAUGACGGUAUCUAACGAAUAAGCACCGGCUAACUCCGUGCCAGCAGCCGCGGUCAUACGGAGGGUGCAAGCGUUACGUGGAAUCACUGGGCGGAACGUGCGUGUAGGCGGGAGAGCAAGUCAGAUGUGAAGUCCUUGGGCUUAACCAUAGAACUGCAUUUGACACUGUUAUUCUAGAGUAUGGGAGAGGUUGGUGGAAUUCUUGGUGUAGGAGUAAAAUCCGUAGAGAUCAAGAGGAACACUCAUUGCGAAGGCGAGCUGCUAGAACAUAACUGACGCGGAUGCGCGAAAGCGUGGGGAGCAAACAGGAUUAGAUACCCGUGUAGUC
RNAcentral lists this ribosomal RNA (440 nucleotides) under uncultured bacterium. Its description in RNAcentral is "partial 16S ribosomal RNA". It matches the Rfam family "Bacterial small subunit ribosomal RNA", at positions 338 to 795 of the family's 1533-position model. The record is from RNAcentral.